AACGAACGCUGGCGGCAUGCCUAACACAUGCAAGUCGAACGAGACCUUCGGGUCUAGUGGCGCGCGGGUGCGUAACGCGUGGGAAUCUACCCUUGGGUUCGGAAUAACAGUUAGAAAUGACUGCUAAUACCGGAUGAUGACGUAAGUCCAAAGAUUUAUCGCCCAAGGACGAGCCCGCGUAAGAUUAGCUUGUUGGUGGGGUAAUGGCCUACCAAGGCGACGAUCUUUAGCUGGUCUGAGAGGAUGAUCAGCCACACUGGGACUGAGACACGGCCCAGACUCCUACGGGAGGCAGCAGUGGGGAAUAUUGGACAAUGGGCGAAAGCCUGAUCCAGCAAUGCCGCGUGAGUGAUGAAGGCCUUAGGGUUGUAAAGCUCUUUUACCAGGGAUGAUAAUGACAGUACCUGGAGAAUAAGCUCCGGCUAACUCCGUGCCAGCCGCCGCGGUAA
RNAcentral lists this ribosomal RNA (449 nucleotides) under uncultured bacterium. Its description in RNAcentral is "partial 16S ribosomal RNA". It matches the Rfam family "Bacterial small subunit ribosomal RNA", at positions 29 to 523 of the family's 1533-position model. The record is from RNAcentral.